RNAcentral lists this small RNA (113 nucleotides) under Mytilus galloprovincialis (Mediterranean mussel). The record is from RNAcentral. Lineage: Eukaryota; Metazoa; Mollusca; Bivalvia; Mytilida; Mytilidae.
AUGAUAAAUGGCAUCUUUGCUAGCCAAGGGUUACGAUCCACUUCCCUCCUAGAUGACAAACUUCCUAGGGAAGUGGAUCGUAACCCUUGGCUAGCGAAGAUGGAUAAAUUCAG